UAUGGGUUCUCCAGUCAUGACCUCCCUGCCAGGGAUCCUGUCCACAUGUCCAAGGCAGGGGAUCUUCAGCCUCUGACUGAGCAGAAGGCGAGGAAACUGGUGCCCAAAGCGGUUAAGUGAGUUGCUCAAGGCCACACAUGCCUCUUCCCUUGUCAUUUGUGGACAAGACCCAUCCUACAUCUGUGCAUGGAAGCGGUGGCCUAUGCACUUGAGUUUGGGACUUUAAACCCACAUAGGGAAACGUGCAAGGAUUCCACACCAAGGACACAUCUGGCCAGAGUGACCCCAACCAAAGCAGCCAAUUUCCCACAUAUCGUAAGCAGACAAGGUGAGAUGGUGUGGGAAGGGGGAACCAGGAA
Molecule: long non-coding RNA, 359 nt
Organism: Hipposideros armiger (great roundleaf bat)
Lineage: Eukaryota; Metazoa; Chordata; Mammalia; Chiroptera; Hipposideridae
Exons: 3
Source: RefSeq, a predicted model, not a curated record